This 245-nucleotide ribosomal RNA is filed under the name uncultured bacterium. RNAcentral's name for it is "partial 16S ribosomal RNA". It matches the Rfam family "Bacterial small subunit ribosomal RNA", at positions 524 to 767 of the family's 1533-position model. The record is from RNAcentral.
UACGUAGGGGGCGAGCGUUGUCCGAAGUUACUGGGCGUAAAGCGCGCGUAGGCGGACUCUUAAGUGAGGGGUGAAAGGUUCAGGGCUCAACCCGAACACUGCCUUUCAUACUGGGGGUCUUGAGUGCGGGAGAGGCGAGUGGAAUGGUCGGUGUAGCGGUGAAAUGCGUAGAUAUCGAUCGGAACACCCAUGGCGAAGGCAGCUCGCUGGCCUGCAACUGACGCUGAGGUGCGAAAGCGUGGGGA